CCUACGGGUGGCUGCAGUGGGGAAUAUUGCACAAUGGGCGCAAGCCUGAUGCAGCCAUGCCGCGUGUGUGAAGAAGGCCUUCGGGUUGUAAAGCACUUUCAGCGGGGAGGAAGGCGGUGAGGUUAAUAACCUCAUCGAUUGACGUUACCCGCAGAAGAAGCACCGGCUAACUCCGUGCCAGCAGCCGCGGUAAUACGGAGGGUGCAAGCGUUAAUCGGAAUUACUGGGCGUAAAGCGCACGCAGGCGGUCUGUCAAGUCGGAUGUGAAAUCCCCGGGCUCAACCUGGGAACUGCAUUCGAAACUGGCAGGCUAGAGUCUUGUAGAGGGGGGUAGAAUUCCAGGUGUAGCGGUGAAAUGCGUAGAGAUCUGGAGGAAUACCGGUGGCGAAGGCGGCCCCCUGGACAAAGACUGACUCUCAGGUGCGAAAGCGUGGGGAGCAAACAGGAUUAGAUACCCCAGUAGUC
This 465-nucleotide ribosomal RNA is filed under the name uncultured Klebsiella sp. RNAcentral describes it as "bacterial SSU rRNA". It matches the Rfam family "Bacterial small subunit ribosomal RNA", at positions 338 to 795 of the family's 1533-position model. The record is from RNAcentral. Lineage: Bacteria; Pseudomonadati; Pseudomonadota; Gammaproteobacteria; Enterobacterales; Enterobacteriaceae.